AGUUGCUCCGGCGGCGCGCGGGAAGGGAGCCAGCAGCCUAGGGCCCAGGCCCGGGCCACCAUGGCGCUGCCUCCGGGCCCAGCCGCCCUCCGGCACACACUGCUGCUCCUGCCAGCCCUUCUGAGCUCAGGUACACCCCUGUUCAGUCGUUGACCAAGUCCUUCUGGGUUCCAAAGCCCCCUCUCUCCCCUGUCUGCACUUCUGUUUGGGUACCCACUCCAGGCCCCAAGCCCUGGAGUCCCUGUCCCCUUCACCCACCUACCCUAGGUCCAACCAGCCAGUCCCUGGUGAGAGGACUCAGGCGCCCUUUCCUUUGGCCUGCUGCUUCUCUCACUGGGCCAAUUCCUGGUCACAGCACAGUACCAACUGUGCCUGAGCCCUUCCCAGAGGCCCCCUGCUGUGUUCCAGGUUGGGGGGAGUUGGAGCCACAAAUAGAUGGUCAGACCUGGGCUGAGCGGGCCUUCUCUGGAGGCACCAGCACCUUCACUGUCACUGCCCAUCGGGCCCAGCAUGAGCUCAACUGCUCCCUGCAGGACCCCAGCAGUGGCCGAUCAG
This 555-nucleotide small RNA is filed under the name Pan troglodytes (chimpanzee). RNAcentral describes it as "retained intron". The record is from RNAcentral. Lineage: Eukaryota; Metazoa; Chordata; Mammalia; Primates; Hominidae.